AGUGAACGCUGGCGGUAGGCCUAACACAUGCAAGUCGAACGGCAGCACAGUAAGAGCUUGCUCUUACGGGUGGCGAGUGGCGGACGGGUGAGGAAUACAUCGGAAUCUACUUUUUCGUGGGGGAUAACGUAGGGAAACUUACGCUAAUACCGCAUACGACCUACGGGUGAAAGCAGGGGAUCUUCGGACCUUGCGCGAUUGAAUGAGCCGAUGUCGGAUUAGCUAGUUGGCGGGGUAAAGGCCCACCAAGGCGACGAUCCGUAGCUGGUCUGAGAGGAUGAUCAGCCACACUGGGGCUGAGACACGGUCCAGACUCCUACGGGAGGCAGCAGUGGGGAAUAUUGGACAAUGGGCGCAAGCCUGAUCCAGCCAUACCGCGUGGGUGAAGAAGGCCUUCGGGUUGUAAAGCCCUUUUGUUGGGAAAGAAAAGCAGCAGGUUAAUACCCCGCUGUUCUGACGGUACCCAAAGAAUAAGCACCGGCUAACUUCGUG
Molecule: ribosomal RNA, 492 nt
Filed under: uncultured bacterium
Lineage: Bacteria
Description: partial 16S ribosomal RNA
Rfam family: Bacterial small subunit ribosomal RNA
Source: RNAcentral